Molecule: long non-coding RNA, 2031 nt
Organism: Patiria miniata (bat star)
Lineage: Eukaryota; Metazoa; Echinodermata; Asteroidea; Valvatida; Asterinidae
Exons: 3
Source: RefSeq, a predicted model, not a curated record
AGGCUAUGGGAUCUCCUAUAUCCCUAUGCCGUUAGGGCUUAGGUGGGUGCGGUGGUAUCGAUUACUAAUUGGAGUCUGACUGGGUGCUUCAAUUGAGGUGCGGCGAAAAUCCAGCACAGAUUCAAGGGGCGAGUUGCGUCCGCGUGGCAGGUCCGCCUUCCACGUGGGGCGUGGGUCCUACGCAGCGGCCUGGAAACCCUAGGAUGCCGUGCCAUAAAGGAGCAGGUAGUGCGUCCCUCUUUAUAGGGGCGUGGCCCUGUAUUCACAGCCGGCAAACGCUGCUACUUCCUAUCAGACCGCAUGAACCCGUAAUGGGGGAUGGACUUAGGGGGGCACGCAUAUAGGUUAGGGUGCUUUCCUGGUCCUUCGGGGCUGGGCGGGCGGACCGGACAGUCGAUAACUGUGUCUGGCCCUCCGGGGCCUACCUUUUAUCCAGCAAUGGGCCUGACGAUACUGAAAGCGUGUUGGGGCUGGUAUCCUGGGACCUUCUCGUGGUGGCCCUGUUUAAACAGACCUUACCAGGAUAUUUGACCUGCUCAGUGAACAUGAAUCACAGAGUUACUUUGUCUUUUUUUUUUUAAUAGAUACUGGUUGUUUUAGAUCUUAACCAGUUGAUUGUAAAUUUUCAGGCUUUGCAAACCUGUUUUUCCCCCAAAAAUUUGUUGUUUCAACCCCCCCAAACCCCAGCAUAUUAUAGAACUCAUAUGAAAAUAAAAGAUCCUUUUUGCAUCACUCUGAGUAGUGUUGACUGAGCAGAUUGUUAGUGGCCUAGGCUGCAUGUAAAACGUUUAUAACCCUAAAACUCUUAAAUUUUCACAGGAUUGAGAAAAUUGUAUAUUCAUUGAAUGACUGGAAAUUGUGGCAGCAAUUUGUAAGUCAUGUUUAACAUGCAAACAUUGCAAUCAGUAAGGAUCUCAUAAAUUGCUAAUCUAUCUGUCCAGGACUGCACAUGUGUAGGGCUUCAUCUUUACCUUAAAAAAAAAAGAACUUUUCAAAAAGAAAUGUUUAGACAUUUAUUUAAAGUUAAUUUGAUAUACAGUUCAAGGCAAUAUAUGUACUGCAUCUGUAAAAUGACUUGUGGCUCAAAAUGAAAGAAAACAAAUCAAGCAUGCUUGAUGAUGUGUGAUGAAUGAUGAAUAAUGCUCUGACAGUUUUGUAUAUUGAUUAAGGUUCCCCUCGGUUUACACCUUGAAUGCUGGAAGUGCAGGCUGCAGGAAUUUGAAGAAGAAGCAACUACCACCGAAGAUAACUCAUUCAUCUUAGACAUGUUUUAUCAAUGGACAGUCGUCACGCCAGACAGGCAGGGCACAGGACUGCAUGUUAGCUCUGAGGUAACUGAUGACGUUGAUAGAAUUUGAAGGUUCUACCGUAGGAUGUUUACUAUGGAACACACACUGGAUGCAGAGAACACUGAUGUAUCACCAUGACAACGCCAAACCAGGACCCUCCAGUUUAAAACAGUAGUGUAAAAUAUGAACAGGAAACUUCGCAACAAAAUGUUGCAAAAUUCUUGUAAGUUGACAUUUCAACAUGGCAUGGCUUGGAACUUGUUUGAUCCCACUUAAAAUGGAAAGCUUUUUGUGAUUUUACCGUGAUAGCGAUUUCUCUUCAUGCAGACAAUUUGAAGAAUUCUACUCUUAUUGAUGUAAUGUUGGGAUAUUUCUUAUUCUAAUAUAAAAGUACUUCUGAUGCUGCCUAGUAUUUCCUUUUGGUAUUCUACCUUUCUAUUUCUAAACAUUCAGUUCUAACUUUUAAGGAUUUUUUUUUCACUGAUUAUUCAUCUCAGUCUUAAUACUCUGUAGUGUUUUGGGUUAGAGAAAGUAUAUAUUCUCAUUAUUGUCAGUCAACUCGUCACUUUUGUUGAAAUAUGAUGCAACAAUUUUUUUGUCUGCCAUUAAACCUUUUGUAAAAAUAUUUGGUGAAAUACUUGUCGAGCUUUGUUUUUUUUUUAGUGAUUUUAGCUUUUGUUUUUCAAUAAAGCUUAAAUAAGUCUGUGUUUGAACUGAAAAUAAAUGUCUCAUUUUGUCAGUU